UUUGUCCUACGGGACGCAGCAGUGGGGAAUAUUGGGCAAUGGACGCAAGUCUGACCCAGCAACGCCGCGUGAAGGAAGAAGGCUUUCGGGUUGUAAACUUCUUUUAAGGGGGAAGAGCAGAAGACGGUACCCCUUGAAUAAGCCACGGCUAACUACGUGCCAGCAGCCGCGGUAAUACGUAGGUGGCAAGCGUUGUCCGGAUUUACUGGGUGUAAAGGGCGUGCAGCCGGGAAGACAAGUCAGAUGUGAAAUCCCGCGGCUCAACCGCGGAACUGCAUUUGAAACUGUUUUUCU
Molecule: ribosomal RNA, 294 nt
Filed under: uncultured bacterium
Lineage: Bacteria
Description: partial 16S ribosomal RNA
Rfam family: Bacterial small subunit ribosomal RNA
Source: RNAcentral